RNAcentral lists this ribosomal RNA (468 nucleotides) under uncultured bacterium. Its description in RNAcentral is "partial 16S ribosomal RNA". It matches the Rfam family "Bacterial small subunit ribosomal RNA", at positions 28 to 507 of the family's 1533-position model. The record is from RNAcentral.
GACGAACGCUGGCGGCGUGCUUAACACAUGCCAGUCGAACGGAAAGGCCCUGCUUUUGUGGGGUGCUCGAGUGGCGAACGGGUGAGUAACACGUGAGUAACCUGCCCUUGACUUUGGGAUAACUUCAGGAAACUGGGGCUAAUACCGGAUAGGAGCUCCUGCUGCAUGGUGGGGGUUGGAAAGUUUCGGCGGUUGGGGAUGGACUCGCGGCUUAUCAGCUUGUUGGUGGGGUAGUGGCUUACCAAGGCUUUGACGGGUAGCCGGCCUGAGAGGGUGACCGGCCACAUUGGGACUGAGAUACGGCCCAGACUCCUACGGGAGGCAGCAGUGGGGAAUAUUGCACAAUGGGCGGAAGCCUGAUGCAGCAACGCCGCGUGCGGGAUGACGGCCUUCGCGUUGUAAACCGCUUUCGCCUGUGACGAAGCGUGAGUGACGGUAAUGGGUAAAGAAGCACCGGCUAACUACGUG